AUUGAACGCUGGCGGAAUGCUUUACACAUGCAAGUCGAACGGCAGCACGGGGCAACCUGGUGGCGAGUGGCGAACGGGUGAGUAAUACAUCGGAACGUGCCCAAUCGUGGGGGAUAACGUAGCGAAAGUUACGCUAAUACCGCAUACGAUCUACGGAUGAAAGCGGGGGAUCGCAAGACCUCGCGCGAGUGGAGCGGCCGAUGUCAGAUUAGGUAGUUGGUGGGGUAAAGGCUCACCAAGCCAACGAUCUGUAGCUGGUCUGAGAGGACGACCAGCCACACUGGAACUGAGACACGGUCCAGACUCCUACGGGAGGCAGCAGUGGGGAAUUUUGGACAAUGGGCGCAAGCCUGAUCCAGCCAUUCCGCGUGCAGGAUGAAGGCCUUCGGUUGUAACUGCUUUGUCAGGAGAAUCUUCUGGCGUAUACCCGGGAGGAGUGACGGUACCUGAAGAAUAAGCACCGGCUAACUACGUGCCAGCAGCCGCGGUAA
RNAcentral lists this ribosomal RNA (491 nucleotides) under uncultured bacterium. RNAcentral's name for it is "bacterial SSU rRNA". It matches the Rfam family "Bacterial small subunit ribosomal RNA", at positions 30 to 523 of the family's 1533-position model. The record is from RNAcentral.